UGGACUGUACUUAGGGCAGGAUCUGGCACCAGGGUUGUUGUCAUGGUGACUGUUCUUGCUCUGUUUCAUCAUCUUCACGGACAUCAUCAGGGCUGGCCUCCCUCCAGGGAGUCUGUCUGUGUGCCUGUCUUCACAGAGGGCUCUGGAAGGGGCUUCACGAGAAGAAAGGAAGAAAUCCUCACCAGGGAGGAAGGUGGAGUUCCCAGAAGUGUAGGGAAGAGGGAGGAGCCCACUGGGCUGUAAGCCCCGAGAGGGCAGGGCCUGUGUCCAUUUCUUCCCUGCUGUAUUCCUAGCAUUGAGGACAGUGCUUGGCAUAGGUUUGGUGCUCAAAGCACAUUUUUUGAAUGAACGAAUGGACUUUUGAGCAAAUCACUGCCUCUCUGGAGUGAGAACCUGCCCUGGGCUUCUGGCUGGAGAUGUCUGGAUGAUGAAUUGUUGACUAGUUGGUGAUGCAGGACUCAGCCUUCAAAUUCCUGUGCCUGGAUUCUGAACAUGGAAAUACAGAGAGGAGGGCCCAGUUAAUAGCAGGGGCUCAGGAAGCAGAAGUGAGAAAUGGGGUGGAGUCGGCCCUAACAAGGGCGAGGCAACCCAGGCACCCUGGAGGAGAGCGGCCUCUCCAGCUCCCAGGCACCCCUGCAUCUCCCCAGCUACCUAAAGUGGUCAGAGGAGAGAGGGAGGGCGCUGUGCCUGAGGACCCCACGUUGGAUCCCAUACAACCUGCAAGGGAGGAACUGGGUCACCGGAACUCCAGAGCUGCUUCCCAAGGGCAUUCUUGAGAAUGUUCCCUAAGGACUAAGCCUUUCUCUCCUUGGGAUGUCACCAGUGCAUAACCUGAGGAAGAUGCCUCGGUCCCAGGACAGAGCAUCACUGUGGCUCCCUCGCAGGUUAGGAAGGGUAACUGAAAUGAAAUGAUCUAUUC
Suricata suricatta (meerkat) is the source of this 919-nucleotide long non-coding RNA. RefSeq lists it as uncharacterized. The transcript is spliced from 3 exons. The record is from RefSeq and is a predicted model, not a curated record. Lineage: Eukaryota; Metazoa; Chordata; Mammalia; Carnivora; Herpestidae.